This is a long non-coding RNA of Anguilla anguilla (European eel), 578 nucleotides long. RefSeq lists it as uncharacterized. Lineage: Eukaryota; Metazoa; Chordata; Actinopteri; Anguilliformes; Anguillidae. The transcript has 2 exons. The record is from RefSeq and is a predicted model, not a curated record.
AAACAGUCCCUCGUCCCUCACCUGCUUACAGCUUCUCUGGGUUCUUCUUUGCCUAGUCUUUGGUUUUGAGAACACAACGAUGGACCAAACACGCUCAGUACCUUCGUCGUAUCUGGCCUGGUCAAUUUUCAACACCCUGUGCUGCUGUCUUCCACUUGGUGUGGUUGCAAUUAUAUUUUCCACCAGAGUGAAUAACGCAGUCGCCAGCGGGGACCUCACGACAGCAGAAUCCGCCUCACGGACCGCCAAAAUUGUGAACAUCGUCGCCCUGGUGAUAGGGCUUAUUUUCAUCAUCACAGUCGUCUCGAUCAACGUAAAGAAUCAAAAGCACUGAAGCAGGCGCAGAAUGGGAAUGCCGGGGUGUUUUUUUUUUUUGUUUUCACAGUCCUGGAGAAUUUCCAUGACAUUCCCAAUGGCACAUUUCCGUGCGUGAAUGCACGCUUGCUCACCCCUUGCUUGCCAGAAAAGUGCAUUUGUGCGAACAACACCAGAACCAUGAGGAGGUUUUGCUUGUCCAUCAGAUGCGCUUCACUCCUUGUGCAUUAAACUGAUGCUGUCUGAGCACUGUUUGAGAUCCA